This 31-nucleotide non-coding RNA is filed under the name Rattus norvegicus (Norway rat). The record is from RNAcentral. Lineage: Eukaryota; Metazoa; Chordata; Mammalia; Rodentia; Muridae.
UAUAGCCUCAUGGGUCUACGCAAGGCCCUGA